Molecule: ribosomal RNA, 445 nt
Filed under: uncultured bacterium
Lineage: Bacteria
Description: bacterial SSU rRNA
Rfam family: Bacterial small subunit ribosomal RNA
Source: RNAcentral
ACCAGUGAGUGGCGGACGGGUGGAGUAACACGUAGGUAACCUGCCCCGGACGCGGGGGAGUAACAAUUUGGUAAACAAGAUGCUAAUACCGCAUAACAACAAAAGACCACAUGGCUUUUGUUUUGUAAAGAUGGCUUUGGCUAUCACUCUGGGAUGGACCUGCGGUGCAUUAGCUAGUUGGUAAGGUAACGGCUUACCAAGGCGAUGAUGCAUAGCCGAGUUGAGAGACUGAUCGGCCACAAUGGAACUGAGACACGGUCCAUACUCCUACGGGAGGCAGCAGUAGGGAAUCUUCCACAAUGGGCGCAAGCCUGAUGGAGCAACACCGCGUGAGUGAAGAAGGGUUUCGGCUCGUAAAGCUCUGUUGUUGGAGAAGAACGUGCGUGAGAGUAACUGUUCACGCAGUGACGGUAUCCAACCAGAAAGUCACGGCUAACUACGUGCC